UCUGGUUGAUCCUGCCAGUAGUUAUAUGCUUGUCUCAAAGAUUAAGCCAUGCAUGUCUAAGUUACACACGAAUUAAAGUGAAACCGCAAAAGGCUCAUUAUAUCAGUUAUGGUUCCUUAGAUGUAACAGUUACUUGGAUAACUGUGGUAAUUCUAGAGCUAAUACAUGCAAUUAAAACAUGAACCUUAUGGGACAUGUGCUUUUAUUAGGCUAAAACCAAGCGAUCGCAAGAUCGUUAUAUUGGUUGAACUCUAGAUAACAUGCAGAUCGUAUGUCUUGUACCGACGACAGAUCUUUCAAAUGUCUGCCCUAUCAACUUUUGAUGGUAGUAUCUAGGACUACCAUGGUUGCAACGGGUAACGGGGAAUCAGGGUUCGAUUCCGGAGAGGGAGCCUGAGAAACGGCUACCACAUCUAAGGAAGGCAGCAGGCGCGUAAAUUACCACUCCCAGCUCGGGGAGGUAGUGACGAAAAAAUAACAAUACAGGACUUCAUAUCCGAGGCCCUGUAAUUGGAAUGAGUACACUUUAAAUCCUUUAACAAGGACCAAUUGGAGGGCAAGUCUGGUGCCAGCAGCCGCGGUAAUUCCAGCUCCAAUGCGUAUAUUAAAGUUGUUGCGGUUAAAACGUUCGUAGUUGAACUUGUGCUUCAUACGGGUAGUACAACUUACAAUUGUGUUAGUACAUACCUUUAUGUAUGUAAGCGUAUUACCGGUGGAGUUCUUAUAUGUGAUUAAAUACUUGUAUUUUUUCAUAUGUUCCUCCUAUUUAAAAACCUGCAUUAGUGCUCUUAAACGAGUGUUAUUGUGGGCCGGUACUAUUACUUUGAACAAAUUAGAGUGCUUAAAGCAGGCUUCAAAUGCCUGAAUAUUCUGGCAUGGGAUAAUGAAAUAAGACCUCUUUCUGCUUUCAUUGGUUUUCAGAUCAAGAGGUAAUGAUUAAUAGAAGCAGUUUGGGGGCAUUAGUAUUACGACGCGACGAGAGGUGAAAUUCUUGGACCGUCGUAAGACUAACUUAAGCGAAAGCAUUUGCCAAAGAUGUUUUCAUUAAUCAAGAACGAAAGUUA
This 1064-nucleotide ribosomal RNA is filed under the name Drosophila melanogaster (fruit fly). RNAcentral describes it as "SSU rRNA". It matches the Rfam family "Eukaryotic small subunit ribosomal RNA", at positions 1 to 992 of the family's 1831-position model. Lineage: Eukaryota; Metazoa; Arthropoda; Insecta; Diptera; Drosophilidae. The record is from RNAcentral.